Molecule: transfer RNA, 77 nt
Filed under: Candidatus Wallbacteria bacterium
Lineage: Bacteria; Candidatus Walliibacteriota
Description: tRNA-Arg
Rfam family: tRNA
About the family: Transfer RNA (tRNA) molecules are approximately 80 nucleotides in length. Their secondary structure includes four short double-helical elements and three loops (D, anti-codon, and T loops). Further hydrogen bonds mediate the characteristic L-shaped molecular structure. tRNAs have two regions of fundamental functional importance: the anti-codon, which is responsible for specific mRNA codon recognition, and the 3' end, to which the tRNAs corresponding amino acid is attached (by aminoacyl-tRNA synthetases). tRNAs cope with the degeneracy of the genetic code in two manners: having more than one tRNA (with a specific anti-codon) for a particular amino acid; and 'wobble' base-pairing, i.e. permitting non-standard base-pairing at the 3rd anti-codon position.
Source: RNAcentral
GCGCAGCUAGCUUAGCUGGAUAGAGCACCGGAUUGCGGAUCCGGAGGUCAGCAGUUCGAAUCUGCUGCUGCGCACCA